Schistosoma margrebowiei is the source of this 45-nucleotide non-coding RNA. Lineage: Eukaryota; Metazoa; Platyhelminthes; Trematoda; Strigeidida; Schistosomatidae. The record is from Rfam.
AUCUAGUUGACGAGUCCUAAAUAGAACGGAACACAAGUCCUGGAU